This is a long non-coding RNA of Vicugna pacos (alpaca), 2014 nucleotides long. RefSeq lists it as uncharacterized. The record is from RefSeq and is a predicted model, not a curated record. NCBI's taxonomy places the organism in Eukaryota, Metazoa, Chordata, Mammalia, Artiodactyla, Camelidae.
GAGCUAGCUUAAGGUAGUUCAAUCAUCCUUUGAGGACAGUCACAGAGUAAUGUAAAUAUAAUCAUCUUAUGUGGUGGGACCUGUCCAAGCUCAAGAAACUCAGAUGGGUGUCUCCAUGGUGUUCCAUGGUUGGACCAUGACCAUGUGUUGUGAAUACAUGUUGACACAUAUAAAUGUAUAUAUUGUGAAAAGUAGUCUGAGGGCCCCUCUUUAGCCUUAAUGUCCCAGCUAUAGUCUCAAUUGUGCUGAGUUAGAGAACAACUAGUAAAGCUGGUAACUGAUUCCCCUUGUCUUCUUUUGUUUCCAUGAUACAGGUUAAAACCAGGAUGGGGAAAACGUUAAGUAAGCAUGUAGAUCUAGCACAUGCCAUCAUACUGGCUGAGAAUUGAUGCUUGCGUCUACUUGGAGCUAGCACCAGAGUGGAGGCACGCCCCCUGCGAAGGCUGUUGGUGAACCUCCUGUGUGUGACUCUGUCCUGUUUAGGUUGGAGUUUCUUGGAAUGACAAUACAGAAGAUGUGUAACGAGAUUUGUUGUAAGGAAUAUUUAUCCUCCCCUGAAAAACCUCAGGAACUGAGUGAGAAUCAUGCAAGGCAGUGAGCCUCGGAAUCCCUUUUAAAUAUUCUCCAAGUCAGUUAAAGUCAUCUCUUCGUAUUUAUGAGAAGACACCUGUUGAAACAGAAGCCAAAGAUGCUGACACCAGGACUGAGAAACACCCUAUUUGCCGGCGGAAGUAUGCAAACACUCAUCAAAGAAAAUUGAAGUAACCACAUGUGUAUAUAAGUAGACUUCAAAAAAAGAAAAUCAGCAGGUGUCAACAUAAUGAAAAUGGGAUGAGAUCAUCAAACAGACAAAACAAAUGGAUGAUGUGAAUGAUGAAUGAAGGUGACACACGUGUCUUCUACAGAGCCAUAUGGUUAUUAAUGUAGCUAUAGACGUAUUUUAACUACAUUUAUGUAGUUAGAAUAAAAAGGCAAAAUAAAAUUUCUAGAGAAUUUAAAGCAAAAUUAUUAUGUAUUUCAUAGAAAUAAGUUACUUUUUCUGCAUUAUUGUGGUUAAUUUGGUCAUCAUCCAUAAACAGAGGCAUGAACCAUAUCAUACAUUCAGCAGAAUCAUCUAAGUUACUAAUCCUUCAGUCAUUGUGAGGGAAUCUGGAUAUCUCCUUAAAGGUACAGCUUCAUAAAAAAUGACUGUCACUACUCCUGCUUUCCUUAUGUCUUUAUGAAAUGAUUUUGCUAAAAAUAAGUAAUUCUAAAAGUACAAUUAUUGGAAAUAAGAAAUUAAAAGCUGGUCAGUUAUCAAGUAAACUACAUUUGAUUAACAUUACCAUUACUAUCCAAAAAAACCACCAAGAUUUCAGGACCAUUAACCCACACUUAAUAAAAAUAUUAUAAUUGUCCAACCUACUGUACCCUAAAAGUAACUCGCCAACUUAAUUUUCAUUUGGGCUAUCUGACAGAAUGAAUACUUUUUAAAAAAAAUUCAUCCUUUGUUGAGGACAGAAAAAAUGAAGGCAAAAGUCAUGGCUGAUGGAAUCAGUAUAUUAUCAUUAUCGUAAUGGGUAUUUUAAAACACUUAAGUUUCAUGAACCAUUUUAAAUGCCUCAUAUACAUUAUCCAUUUUAAUCCCAAAAUCUAUGUGAUAGGCGAUAUUACUAAUCACAUUUAGCAAAUAAAGAAUCCAGGGCUUAGACAGAUAUGUUCAGUCAUUUGCUGGAAGUUACUUAAGUUGGUAACAGGUUAGAGUAUCUCAGCAUCUGAAACCCAUGUUCUUAAUGACCAUGCAUGUUAGUCGUAAAAGAAGCCAUAGAAAUCACCUUCCCAUUUUACAGGUAAAGAAACUGAAUCCCAGGAUGUUUCAUAAUUUGUCCAAAGCUAAGCAGGAAAACUAAAAUUAAAUUCUAAAUCAAGUAAUUUCUUAGUUUACGGCUAUUUUAAUGUUAUACUGCCUAUAUAAUGACUUAUUUUGAAAGCUCAAUUUUGUCUCAAGAUUUUUAUCUGGAAAAGUAAAUUUAAA